Drosophila yakuba is the source of this 2353-nucleotide long non-coding RNA. RefSeq lists it as uncharacterized. The record is from RefSeq and is a predicted model, not a curated record. Lineage: Eukaryota; Metazoa; Arthropoda; Insecta; Diptera; Drosophilidae. The transcript has 2 exons.
UACAUUAAAGAACAAUCAUCAAGCCAGGCUCCUUAUCACUAUUUCCACCGACUUGAAUGCCCGUUAUCAAGCUCUGCUCCGGGAAAGACACACAAGACUAGAGUCCUAAUAAGUACUUUAUAGUAUUUUUUAUGGUUUAUAGUUUAUAGUUUAUAGAGCUAGCAGCUGCCGUGAUUGUCGGCUUAUCAAAAUCCAACGCUUUCCAGUAUUCACCGACAUUUCCAACUGGACCUUGGGCACUCUACUUGUGUUCUUAGUUUUGGCAUUAAGGCAGGCUUACUACACAAGCCCACAGAUAACCCCAUAGACAUAUGAAGCUGUGUACAUUAAUUGAAACUUUAAUUGGUUAUAGCUUAGGUUUUAGAUUAUGAUACACUACAAACACCUGGAGAAAACCUUUCCCUGUGACUCAUCAAUUAUCUCAUUGCUUAAAUAAUCAUCAUGGGAAUCCUUUAUGGUGGCUCAACACUGCCAUAUGCUAAUAUGGGUGGUAAAGUAAAACCCAUCGCGACAACCAGCGAUACGAAGUGCCAGCACACUCGGUUAUUUGCCCAUGUCAGAUGUCCCAGAUUUUAUGGAGAUCACCUGAGAGAGCCGGGCUCUUUUACUGAUAUCUCAACGUCAACGUGACAAUUGUGCGUUGAGUGGCCUCUCCACGCGGCACUUAAGUCGCCCCAUCGGACUUAUCUCAAGUGACUUAAUAGAUCCAAUUUAGUGGCUUUGAUUAAACGCGAAAUGCCAGCGAAACAAAAAGCGAAAGUAAUGUCCACCACACGACAGGGCAUCGAAAUGUGUCGUGAGGAGUCUUGAACUUGUGCCACUUGAACUUGCCACUUGAUGUGGACAGGUCAGGGGCUUCCAAUAAUCGUCACUCUCCAAUGGAUUACACAUUCGCUGAACUAUAGGGUGUUUUUCCUUUAAAAGUACUUAGAGAGCUAUCGGCUUGGAAAUUUAUAAAAUAAUUUUAAAUGUCAAGGUUUUGUAAAUUCCUGCAAUUUAAUAUGCAUUAAAAAGUAGCUUUUUCUUUAUCCAAAUGGUUCUUCUUUGUACUUUUUCUAAAUAUAAAUGCUCUUUAAUGAAUUCUACACAGAUCCAUUUAUAGUCUUUUGAGUGUUCAACAAUUAUGCACUGGCAGUGACUAAUUAGCAAUAGUCCGGCUCGCCGGCCCCUUGAAAUUAGUGCAGGAUGUUUGUGAUUUUCGUGUUUUGCUUGCCGUUCGUCUGCGGCGGCAACGCGGCGUAUGCGCGAUAAUUAAACACACGACUUGCAUGGGGCCGCCGUCGAAGGUCCAAAAGCGGGAAUUUCGUUGGAUCCACUGAGGCAACUGCUGCCUCAGCCAUUGCUGGCUGUUUGGGUCAAGCUCAUUCUCAUUUAAAUCUGCUGGCUAAAUAGACGACCCACUGGGCGGCUCAUUGCGCCCAGCAAGACUUCCUCGUUUUGGGGGUUUCAGAGAUUGAUAGAGGGAUGCUUGUAAAUUGAGAUCAGGGAUCUGUCGGAAUCGUGGAAUUGGGGAAUUGGGGAAUCAGGGGGCUUGGAAAUUUUCAAGUUCAAACUCCCCAAGUGGGCCAAGUGACGUGCCGAUGCCAUGCAAAUGCACAUUGUACUCCAAUUAUGCGAGAUAAUUGACAAAGAACGGGUGACAAUUCAAAUGCAAAAUUGUACGCUGUGACUGAUUCUUAAUUUUCGCAAUGUUCUUGACAAGUCCCAGCCCCCAACUUACAAGUUACUGGACUGCCAGCUAAUUAGUUUAGCCAACACAAACGAGCUGCAAAUAUUACCCGAACUAUAUCUGUUUCUGUGCAAAGAUAUAUUAUAUAGAUAACUAGAUAAGGUCCGCCAAACAAUCAAAUCCCACGAAAUGCCGCCUUUUAUUUGGAUAUCGUGCGAUAAUGGCCAGGUUUCAUCUUCUUACAGCUCGCCUUUUGUUCAGUACGAGUAUUUGCUCCACACAUUAUCAGCUCCUAAGUGCUCGUUUUAUUUCUACUGUUUUUUUUCUUAAGUUGAAUAAUCGCAGCUGAUCGAGCUAAUUUAUAAGUUUGACGGCCACACAAUUACUUGGAGAUUGAACAAACAUUUUUGUAUAUUCUAGCGACUUUUCUCCAUAACACUUCGAGUUUACACUUAGAUAUGGUAAAAAGGUAUUCUAGAGAAUUUAAAAUUAAAAUAUUCAUUUUCAUUUUAACAGUAACGACUUUGUGUCUCAGAAUAAUAUUUUGGCAUUAAAUUUAUGUACUUUGUUCAACGAAAAAUUCCUAGAACAACACUGCGUAUGAGUAUUUAAACUUCACUCUUGUUUUUUAAGUAGUAUACAGUUUUUGUUAAAAAAUUGGAAUAAAGAAGCUGCAUAAAUGAA